GGGCCCGUAGCUCAACUGGCAGAGCAACUGACUCUUAAUCAGUAGGUUGAAGGUUCGAUUCCUUCCGGGCUCACCA
This 76-nucleotide transfer RNA is filed under the name Pseudomonadota bacterium. RNAcentral describes it as "tRNA-Lys". It matches the Rfam family "tRNA". From Rfam's summary of the family: Transfer RNA (tRNA) molecules are approximately 80 nucleotides in length. Their secondary structure includes four short double-helical elements and three loops (D, anti-codon, and T loops). Further hydrogen bonds mediate the characteristic L-shaped molecular structure. tRNAs have two regions of fundamental functional importance: the anti-codon, which is responsible for specific mRNA codon recognition, and the 3' end, to which the tRNAs corresponding amino acid is attached (by aminoacyl-tRNA synthetases). tRNAs cope with the degeneracy of the genetic code in two manners: having more than one tRNA (with a specific anti-codon) for a particular amino acid; and 'wobble' base-pairing, i.e. permitting non-standard base-pairing at the 3rd anti-codon position. RNAcentral also lists the same sequence under 6 other names. Lineage: Bacteria; Pseudomonadati; Pseudomonadota. The record is from RNAcentral.